Molecule: ribosomal RNA, 296 nt
Filed under: Escherichia coli
Lineage: Bacteria; Pseudomonadati; Pseudomonadota; Gammaproteobacteria; Enterobacterales; Enterobacteriaceae
Also listed under: 1 other name
Description: partial 16S ribosomal RNA
Rfam family: Bacterial small subunit ribosomal RNA
Source: RNAcentral
UUAAAUUGAAGAGUUUGAUCAUGGCUCAGAUUGAACGCUGGCGGCAGGCCUAACACAUGCAAGUCGAACGGUAACAGGAAACAGCUUGCUGUUUCGCUGACGAGUGGCGGACGGGUGAGUAAUGUCUGGGAAACUGCCUGAUGGAGGGGGAUAACUACUGGAAACGGUAGCUAAUACCGCAUAACGUCGCAAGACCAAAGAGGGGGACCUUCGGGCCUCUUGCCAUCGGAUGUGCCCAGAUGGGAUUAGCUAGUAGGUGGGGUAACGGCUCACCUAGGCGACGAUCCCUAGCUGGU